CCUACGGGUGGCAGCAGUGAGGAAUAUUGGUCAAUGGACGAGAGUCUGAACCAGCCAAGUAGCGUGAAGGAUGACUGCCCUAUGGGUUGUAAACUUCUUUUAUAUGGGAAUAAAAUGUUCCACGUGUGGGAUUUUGUAUGUACCUUAUGAAUAAGGAUCGGCUAACUCCGUGCCAGCAGCCGCGGUAAUACGGAGGAUCCGAGCGUUAUCCGGAUUUAUUGGGUUUAAAGGGAGCGUAGGUGGGUUGUUAAGUCAGUUGUGAAAGUUUGCGGCUCAACCGUAAAAUUGCAGUUGAUACUGGCAGUCUUGAGUACAGUAGAGGUGGGCGGAAUUCGUGGUGUAGCGGUGAAAUGCUUAGAUAUCACGAAGAACUCCGAUUGCGAAGGCAGUUCACUGGACUGCAACUGACACUGAGGCUCGAAAGUGUGGGUAUCAAACAGGAUUAGAUACCCUAGUAGUC
RNAcentral lists this ribosomal RNA (460 nucleotides) under uncultured bacterium. Its description in RNAcentral is "partial 16S ribosomal RNA". It matches the Rfam family "Bacterial small subunit ribosomal RNA", at positions 338 to 795 of the family's 1533-position model. The record is from RNAcentral.